This 559-nucleotide long non-coding RNA is filed under the name Homo sapiens (human). RNAcentral describes it as "non-protein coding lnc-ACER1-1:4". The record is from RNAcentral. Lineage: Eukaryota; Metazoa; Chordata; Mammalia; Primates; Hominidae.
GUUGAUGUACAUGUGGAUGGGCUUCUUGUUGCUCUCGGAUUGCAGGAAGAGGAGCUGUGCGAUAACAAGGCUGGCAACGCUGUCAUCGAUCUGCAGGUGGAGAGGGCAGGGGUGUCCCCAGAUUCGGGGUGGGGAGAGAGUUUUAAGGGAGGCUGGGGAUGGGUCAGGGAACCAGGAAGGGGGACCAGAGCCCAAAGUAAAAGGGAUGGGGAAGAAUUUAGGCCCCAGAAGGGGAUGGGGAGAGAGUAGUGGAGAGGACCCAGGGGGUUUGGAGCACAGGAAGGGGGGAGUCAGGGGGCUAGGGACACAGGAAAGGAAGGGGUGAGAAUGGCUGGGGAGAGUCUUGAGCGUAGGAAUGAGGGGAGCGGUGCCAGGUGUCAGGAAGGAAGUCGGAGAUUAAGAGCCGAGGAGCAGAGAAGGGGUGAGGAGCGGGUUGGGGGACCGGGAGCCAGGAGGGGAGUCAGAAGGGGAGGGAAGGGGGUUAGAAGGGGAGCGGAGCCUGAGGGAAAGUCUGGGGCCAGGGAAGGAGGGGCGCAGGGAGUGUCGGCAGGCGCUUGGG